AGCGAACGCUGGCGGCAGGCUUAACACAUGCAAGUCGAACGGUCCUUCGGGAUAGUGGCGGACGGGUGAGUAACACGUGGGAACGUACCCUUAGGUUCGGAACAACACAGGGAAACUUGUGCUAAUACCGGAUAAGCCCUUCGGGGGAAAGAUUUAUCGCCUUUGGAGCGGCCCGCGUCUGAUUAGCUUGUUGGUGAGGUAAUGGCUCACCAAGGCUACGAUCAGUAGCUGGUCUGAGAGGAUGGCCAGCCACACUGGGACUGAGACACGGCCCAGACUCCUACGGGAGGCAGCAGUGGGGAAUCUUGCGCAAUGGGCGAAAGCCUGACGCAGCCGUGCCGCGUGGAUGAUGAAAGUCUUAGGAUUGUAAAAUCCUUUCACCGGGGACGAUAAUGACGGUACCCGGAGAAGAAGCCCCGGCUAACUUCGUGCCAGCAGCCGCCGUAA
RNAcentral lists this ribosomal RNA (447 nucleotides) under uncultured bacterium. RNAcentral's name for it is "partial 16S ribosomal RNA". It matches the Rfam family "Bacterial small subunit ribosomal RNA", at positions 29 to 523 of the family's 1533-position model. The record is from RNAcentral.